This is a long non-coding RNA of Helianthus annuus (common sunflower), 1347 nucleotides long. RefSeq lists it as uncharacterized. Lineage: Eukaryota; Viridiplantae; Streptophyta; Magnoliopsida; Asterales; Asteraceae. The transcript has 2 exons. The record is from RefSeq and is a predicted model, not a curated record.
UGCGCGCACGACUGUUUAGAAAAGAAACCGUUGUGGUUUGGUAUUUCAAGAGUCGCGUUGCAGGGUUUGGGAGAAUUGCAAAUUUAGGGUUUUCAAUCAACGGGUUUCAGGGUGUCUCAAUCAGACCACAUUAUAGAUCGCCGGUUUCAGAUCAAUCAACUGGAUGUAGCCGAUAAUCACAGUAUAUUUGAAUCAACAGGUUAUGGUUGUUGUAGAUGCUUCUGUAGCGGAAGAAUUUGCUGAGGUGGCAACCAAGCCAUUGAAAGCCUUACCAUAGGUUACACAUGGUCAAACGUUUAUGGCAUCAGAGAAACCAGAAGGGUCCCAAUUCAGGUGUUGGCAGAUUUUUUUUAACAUGUUGGUUUAUUUUACGUGAAAGAGGUAAUAACUUCUCAUCUCAUAUUUUUUUACAAGUAUAGUUUGACCCAUUUACUUUUGGAUCCAUCGAUUCUGGUUACAUUUUUCAAACAGGUCCAAAGGGUAUUUUUAUUAGUAUGUGAAUUAUGUAAAACGUUUUUACAGAGGUUAGGGUAUUAUUGAGAAAAUAUAUGUGUUUUAAUCAUACUGACUCUUAUUUAUAUAACAAUAGAGGUCCUGGACAAUAGAUUAUAGAGGUCCUGGACAAAGUAUUUCGUGUCAACCCAUCCUGAUCUGUAAUGGGUCAAAAUGGACCAAAAAGGGUUGGGCCAACUUACACUCUUUUUUUUAUAAUUUCUUCGUUUUAUAAAGUUAUAAACAUGCAAAGUAUGACUCAAUAGGUCUUUAAAAAUUAUAGUUCAGUUUGUAACUUUGUAUGGGUUUUAAUCUGUUCGACCCUUUUGAUCCAUUUUCUUUUUAGUUAAACCAUUUGACCUGUUAAAUGUAAGACACUGAAACUGAUAUAUGUGUAAGUUGAUGGUCAUUUAUUAAUGACAGUCUGCCACAGUUCUGCAUUUUUAUUAUUUGUUUAUUUGCCAAUAUAGGAACCUACUGUACCCAAUGAAGUCAAGUCUAAGACCACCCGUAAUCGUUUAGAUUUGGGCGUUUUUAAGCCCAAGCACGCCCCCAAACGACGUUAUCACCACUACGCCCCUUUGAUGACUAGGAUUACACGUGGCGCAAAACGCCCUAGGGUGGGGCAUUAUUCACCCCCCAACGACUACGCAUGGUCUAAGCCACUUGCAGAGGAAAAAAUCUGUUGGUAAACAGCCUAAUCUGGCCUGUUUUGGCCCGCUACCCGAGCCUCCGAUUUUGACACCUAUACCUGUUUUUCUUUCACCUUGGCUUACUAUUGAUCAUGUUCUUGUAUGUCCGUUUACAUCUGUAACUGUACUCGACCCCUGUGAAGAUAAACAAUGUUUUUGUGUU